ACAAGUUUAACGGCUACGGUACCCUGACCGUACGAAGGUAGCAUAAUCACUUGUUCCUUAAAUAGGGACCUGUAUCAACGGCAUCACGAGGGCUGCACUGUCUCCUCUCUUCAAUCAGUGAAACUGAUCCUCCCGUGAAGAAGCGGGAAUUUAACUAUAAGACGAGAAGACCCCAUGGAGCUUUAAACAACGUACUCACACUAUAUAAAUAUACCCUUUUACUAGAAGCCCUGAGUACAAGUUUUAGGUUGGGGAGACCGCGGAGAACAACUAAACCUCCGCGACAGACGGCCCAAGCCCUUAUCCACGAGCCACAACUCUAAGAAUCAGAACACUGAUGAUUAUGACCCGAUAAUAUUCGACUAACGAACCAAGUUACCCUGGGGAUAACAGCGCAAUCUACUUCAAGAGUCCAUAUCGACAAGUAGGUUUACGACCUCGAUGUUGGAUCAGGGUAUCCCUGUGGUGCAGCAGCUACUAACGGUUCGUUUGUUCAACGAUUAAAACCCUACGUGAUCUGA
This 521-nucleotide ribosomal RNA is filed under the name Amnirana amnicola (Ilanga frog). Its description in RNAcentral is "partial 16S ribosomal RNA". It matches the Rfam family "Bacterial large subunit ribosomal RNA", at positions 1918 to 2608 of the family's 2925-position model. The record is from RNAcentral. Lineage: Eukaryota; Metazoa; Chordata; Amphibia; Anura; Ranidae.